CAGCCGCCGCGGGAAUACGAGGGGGGCAAGCGUUGUUCGGAAUUAUUGGGCGUAAAGGGUGCGUAGGCGGCUUGACAAGUCUUGUGUGAAAUCUAUGGGCUCAACCCAUAGUCUGCACGGGAAACUGUCGGGCUUGAGAAUGGGAGAGGUGAGUGGAAUUUCCGGUGUAGCGGUGAAAUGCGUAGAUAUCGGAAGGAACACCUGUGGCGAAAGCGGCUCACUGGACCAUUUCUGACGCUGAUGCACGAAAGCUAGGGGAGCAAACAGGAUUAGAUACCCGCGUAGUCCCUGUCUCUUAUAC
Molecule: ribosomal RNA, 301 nt
Filed under: uncultured bacterium
Lineage: Bacteria
Description: partial 16S ribosomal RNA
Rfam family: Bacterial small subunit ribosomal RNA
Source: RNAcentral